RNAcentral lists this small RNA (28 nucleotides) under Bombyx mori (domestic silkworm). RNAcentral's name for it is "ovarian small RNA-7580". The record is from RNAcentral. Lineage: Eukaryota; Metazoa; Arthropoda; Insecta; Lepidoptera; Bombycidae.
UCGCCUCGUUAAAGACACAUGAUAGCGC